RNAcentral lists this ribosomal RNA (380 nucleotides) under uncultured archaeon. RNAcentral's name for it is "bacterial SSU rRNA". It matches the Rfam family "Archaeal small subunit ribosomal RNA", at positions 473 to 853 of the family's 1478-position model. The record is from RNAcentral.
AUACCCGCGGCCCAAGUGGUGGUCGAUAUUAUUGAGCCUAAAACGUCCGUAGCCGGUCUUGUAAACCCUUGGGUAAAUCGACCAGCUUAACUGUUCGAAGUCCGGGGAGACUGCAAGACUUGGGAUCGGGAGAGGUGAGAGGUACUUCUGGGGUAGGGGUAAAAUCCUGUAGUCCUAGAAGGACCACCGGUGGCGAAGGCGUCUCACUAGAACGAAUCCGACGGUGAGGGACGAAGCCCUGGGGCGCAAACGGGAUUAGAUACCCCGGUAGUCCAGGGUGUAAACGCUGCGGGCUUGGUGUUGGGGGUCCUUUGAGGGCGCCCAGUGCCGGAGAGAAGUUGUUAAGCCUGCUGCUUGGGGAGUACGUCCGCAAGGAUGAA